This is a long non-coding RNA of Lepisosteus oculatus (spotted gar), 370 nucleotides long. RefSeq lists it as uncharacterized. NCBI's taxonomy places the organism in Eukaryota, Metazoa, Chordata, Actinopteri, Semionotiformes, Lepisosteidae. The record is from RefSeq and is a predicted model, not a curated record.
GUUCAGUCGUACCAUCACGAUGUGAGCUCCUCUUCACCGGGCUGUCUGUCUCCGUCUGCCUCUCCUCCUCCAUCUCAGAAGCGCAAACGGGCAAGAACGGACCGUAAUGCUGCGCUGAACAGGCUUCACUGCGGACUCAAUGACGCUGGGCUCCCAGUGGGAUCACACCGCAGCAUUUCUACGCAAUAAGAAACCUCUGACAUCAGGCAGCAGGUAAAAAUGACUGGAGGCACCGUGGAGCUGGAGCUCAUUAUGAAGAUGGAAUCUCCCCUGGGAUCUCAAAGUUAAAAGGGACUGACCUGCAUCCAGCAACCCAGAAUACACUCUCCCACCCCACUAGGAACCCCCCUUGCGCCCCGUGAAGCACCUU